RNAcentral lists this ribosomal RNA (253 nucleotides) under uncultured bacterium. Its description in RNAcentral is "partial 16S ribosomal RNA". It matches the Rfam family "Bacterial small subunit ribosomal RNA", at positions 524 to 776 of the family's 1533-position model. The record is from RNAcentral.
GAAGGGGGAUGCAAGCGUUAUUCGGAAUCACUGGGCGUAAAGCGUCUGUAGGAGGUGAUGCAAGUCACUGGUGCAAAACUCUGGCUCAACCGGAGGAAAGCCAGUGAAACUGCAUGACUAGAGUGUGGGAGAGGUAGAAGGAAUUCCCUGAGUAGCGGUGAAAUGCGUAGAUACAGGGAAGAACACCGGAGGCGAAAGCGUUCUACUGGAACACAACUGACGCUGAGAGGCGAAAGCUAGGGGAGCGAAUGGG